AAAUCAAGAUUUGAUUAAGAAUAAUUGAUAUUCAGUUUUGAGUUAAAUUCAAUUUAGGAAUAAUGUGAAAGAAACAAAGACUUGGUUUAUUUGGUGGGUAAAGAUUAUGUUUCUGUAGUGAAGAAUAUGAGAAGAGAGAAAAAUAAAUGGGAAGAAAAAGGAAAAUAAAGAAAUAAAAAGAAAAAAAUUAAAUUGUUCAAAAAAAUAAAAGUAGAAUGACUAGUUUAACAAAUGAAAAAUAUAGAAAAACUAUCUUAAAAGAAAUGGAGAAGGGAGGAAAACA
This 283-nucleotide long non-coding RNA is filed under the name Gossypium raimondii (Peruvian cotton). RNAcentral's name for it is "long non-coding RNA (GRAI_LNC006496)". The record is from RNAcentral. Lineage: Eukaryota; Viridiplantae; Streptophyta; Magnoliopsida; Malvales; Malvaceae.